This 447-nucleotide ribosomal RNA is filed under the name uncultured organism. RNAcentral describes it as "partial 16S ribosomal RNA". It matches the Rfam family "Bacterial small subunit ribosomal RNA", at positions 334 to 797 of the family's 1533-position model. The record is from RNAcentral.
CACUCCUGCGGGAGGCAGCAGUGGGGAAUAUUGGACAAUGGGCGCAAGCCUGAUCCAGCCAUGCCGCGUGAGUGAUGAAGGCCCUAGGGUUGUAAAGCUCUUUCACCGGAGAAGAUAAUGACGGUAUCCGGAGAAGAAGCCCCGGCUAACUUCGUGCCAGCAGCCGCGGUAAUACGAAGGGGGCUAGCGUUGUUCGGAAUUACUGGGCGUAAAGCGCACGUAGGCGGAUCGAUCAGUCAGGGGUGAAAUCCCAGGGCUCAACCCUGGAACUGCCUUUGAUACUGUCGAUCUGGAGUAUGGAAGAGGUGAGUGGAAUUCCGAGUGUAGAGGUGAAAUUCGUAGAUAUUCGGAGGAACACCAGUGGCGAAGGCGGCUCACUGGUCCAUUACUGACGCUGAGGUGCGAAAGCGUGGGGAGCAAACAGGAUUAGAAACCCCUGUAGUCCCA